GCACAGUUUCCAAAUUCCACCCCUGAUUAAAAAUCGUAUCUGCAAUGUUGUUAAAUUUGCACCUUUCGAUCCAAAUAUAAUUAUAACUGUUCAUAAUCCAGGCAAUCUUGAAACUGUUUACAAGUCAUCGUAUGUUUGUUUCUGGAAUAUUGAUGACCUUAAUAUCCCACA
Long non-coding RNA from Octopus sinensis (East Asian common octopus), 171 nucleotides. RefSeq lists it as uncharacterized. Lineage: Eukaryota; Metazoa; Mollusca; Cephalopoda; Octopoda; Octopodidae. The record is from RefSeq and is a predicted model, not a curated record. The transcript has 3 exons.